Molecule: long non-coding RNA, 477 nt
Filed under: Olea europaea subsp. europaea
Lineage: Eukaryota; Viridiplantae; Streptophyta; Magnoliopsida; Lamiales; Oleaceae
Source: RNAcentral
UCUAUGUCUUUUCUUCCUUUUAUAUUCCUUUGAUACUCUCUUUGUGAUCAACCGCUUAAUUGCUUUAUAACUGCCCACUUUCUCCAUGGUGGCCAACUUAUCGUGGAACUGCCGUCUCUAACUGCUGCCAUUACUCUUUGUCGUUCAACCGUCCUCAACUGAACAUCUUGAAUCGCGGAACGUCAUAAAAUUACCCAAUAACUGCUUCGAUAACUGUACUUUUGGAUAACCAUAAUAUCUUAUGUUUGCUAAGAUCCUGGGCGAUUCGAAAGUUUGGGCGAGAACAGGGUCAUAACUCUGGACGACUACAAGGCACUUCAUUCGCUCAGAUCCUGGGUGUCUUGUAAGUUUGGGCGAUGGUGUUACCGCGUUCGUGGGCUUUCACUGCAUUCAUUAAUAACCAUAUUUGGACCUUUAUCCUGAAUUGCCCAGUUGGGCUUCAUUCUUUGGGUUAUUUGAAUUGGGCUGCACUUUUUG